AUGGCCCCGGUGGAGACCCAGACGCUGCGGGAACAGCCGGAGAUGGAAGAUGCUGAUAAUUCUGAAAAGAGUAUACAUGAAGAAAAUGGAGAAAAACAUAAAUUCUUGAAAGAAUUUGAUGCCGAUCCUGAUGACAAACUUCAUUGUCUGCGACUCUUCAGGUGCUUCUAUCACAAAUAUCUCUGUCUCAUAUUCGAGCCUCUCAGUAUAAACUUACAAGAGGUGUUAAAAAAUAUGAUAAAGAUACUGGUUUUCAUAUUAAAGCUGUAAGAUCCCAUAGUCAGCAGUUUUUCCUGGCAUUGAAAUUCCUCAAAAUAUGCGAUAUCCUACAUGUAGACAACAAGCCAGACAAUAUCCUGGUUAAUCAUCAGAAACUAUUUUAAAGUUUGUGCUCUGGGGUUGGCUUCACAUGUUGCGGAUAAUGACGUUAUACCUUAUCUUGUCAGUAGAUUUUAUCGUGCUGUUGAAAUCAUUAUAGGUAAAAGCUGUGACUAUGGUAUACAUAUGUGGUCAGUAAGUUGCACCUUAAAUGGACUCUAUACUGGAAAAAUUUUAUUUCCUGGCAAAACUAAUAACUGUAUAUUGAAGCUUGUGAUGAAUCUCAAAGGAAAGAUGCCAAAUACGAUGAUUCAAAAGGUGCAUUCAAAGAUCAGCAUUUUGAUCAAAAUCUCAACUUCAUGUACAUAGAAGUUGAUAAAGUAACAGACAGGGAGAAAGUUAUUGUUAUGAGCACCAUUAAUCCAACUAAGGACCUAUUGGCUGACUUGAUUGGGUGCCAGACACUUCCUGAAGACUGAUGUAAAAAAGUAUACCAGCUAAAGGACUUGUUGGACCAGAUUCUAAUGUUGGGCCUAGCUAAAUGAAUUAGCAUCAACCAGGCCCUACAGCAUGCCUUCAUCCAGGACAAAAUUUAAGCAAGAUGAAGAAACUCCAAGGGUUUGAGUAAAUACAGGGACUGAAGAAAUUUCACAGCACUUUAUUAAUGAAUAUAAACUUAUAAAUAUUUCUCCAGCAGAUUUGAGGAAGCAUGAUAUAUUUGAAUUUCUUUUAGAAAUGUUAGUUAAUCUGUUUUGUGUCUUAUGUGAAAUUUCACCACAGAACUGUUUUAAAUUGCCAAGACUGAAGAAAAUUAUAGUGCUAAUGUAUAUGGUUGCAGUUCACAUGAAAGACAAAAGCAUCUGUUAUAAAACGAGUAGUAAUAUUGGGUGGUUGAUUUGUUUUUAGCAGACUUGGCUUCAUUUUGGUCUUCAGAUAAAAUGGCCAGCAUAAACGCUGUUUAUAUUCAUGUUUUCCUAGGUGCAGCAUGCCGUUGAUGUAUUCAGUGCCGAAAGGGGUCUGUUCCUUCUUGAGCCUGCCUGCAGGGAUGGUCUCCUUAAAGAAAAUGUGGCACAUAUAUACCACAGAAUACUAU
Macaca mulatta (Rhesus monkey) is the source of this 1411-nucleotide non-coding RNA. NCBI's taxonomy places the organism in Eukaryota, Metazoa, Chordata, Mammalia, Primates, Cercopithecidae. The record is from RefSeq and is a predicted model, not a curated record.